Molecule: ribosomal RNA, 412 nt
Filed under: uncultured Prochlorococcus sp.
Lineage: Bacteria; Bacillati; Cyanobacteriota; Cyanophyceae; Synechococcales; Prochlorococcaceae
Description: bacterial SSU rRNA
Rfam family: Bacterial small subunit ribosomal RNA
Source: RNAcentral
UGCUUAACACAUGCAAGUCGAACGAACCUUCGGGUUAGUGGCGGACGGGUGAGUAACGCGUGAGAAUCUGCCCUCAGGAGGGGGAUAACGGUUGGAAACGACCGCUAAUACCCCAUAUGCCUACUGGUGAAAUGAAUUUCGCCUGAGGAUGAGCUCGCGUCUGAUUAGCUAGUUGGUGAGGUAAUGGCUCACCAAGGCUUCGAUCAGUAGCUGGUCUGAGAGGAUGAUCAGCCACACUGGGACUGAGACACGGCCCAGACUCCUACGGGAGGCAGCAGUGGGGAAUUUUCCGCAAUGGGCGAAAGCCUGACGGAGCAACGCCGCGUGAGGGACGAAGGCCUCUGGGCUGUAAACCUCUUUUCUCAAGGAAGAAGAUAUGACGGUACUGAGGAAUAAGCCACGGCUAAUUCCG